CUGGAACAAUCGAGUUCAGCUUCUACUACACGAGGAGUUUCGAUGGACGCGUUCUACUUGAACAUGCAUGGCCGGCGUAUAUCCAACUUUCGGAUAUUGCAAAAUUUUUGGAUCAAGCAAGAGGACAUCUGGUGAUACCGCCAUUUCCCGAAACAAUGAUGGACAGUCAUUCUGUGAGCCUGGCCUUUGUAAUACAGUAGUCCAUGGUAAAAAAAAAAUCGAUUGAUUGGUGCCAUCGUUGCCAUUAGGGGUGUACCACGCUUAAAAACACGAAAAAACUGUGAAAAACGCUGGUAAUUUGUAGUGCUAUGUCCUUGCAUUCUUAAGCUACUUCUGGUAUUUCUAUUCUAGGAUGCGCCACAAUCAUUAGCGGUGAGAAACAAUAAAGUUAUUAUGACGUGUUUCUUUUGAAUUGUGGUCAAAAUCGAUGAGAAUAGUAUACCUAUGUUGAAACAUCGAGAAAACUCGGGAAGAUAUAACCAGCUGGAAAUUUUCCAAACUUCCUUUGGGGAAUGCCAACUUUCUGGUGUUUUUGUUUUUCUGAAAGUAUCCCGCGAAAACAAAGAAAAUGGCACUCAUGCGUUGCUUAUGCUACUAAAUGGUUCCAUAAAAAUGUCGAUGUAGUUACCCAACUCGAUCUAAUAAACCAACUACAGACAUUUCUUAAA
Molecule: long non-coding RNA, 668 nt
Organism: Daphnia magna
Lineage: Eukaryota; Metazoa; Arthropoda; Branchiopoda; Diplostraca; Daphniidae
Exons: 2
Source: RefSeq, a predicted model, not a curated record